RNAcentral lists this unclassified non-coding RNA (329 nucleotides) under soil metagenome. Its description in RNAcentral is "partial contains 5.8S ribosomal RNA, internal transcribed spacer 2, and large subunit ribosomal RNA". The stretch from base 1 to 120 matches the Rfam family "5.8S ribosomal RNA", at positions 35 to 154 of the family's 154-position model. The record is from RNAcentral.
GAUGAAGAACGCAGCGAAAUGCGAUAAGUAAUGUGAAUUGCAGAAUUCAGUGAAUCAUCGAAUCUUUGAACGCACAUUGCGCCCCCUGGUAUUCCGGGGGGCAUGCCUGUCCGAGCGUCAUUACAACCCUCAAGUUCAGCUUGGUGUUGGGCCCCGCCGCCCCGGCGGGCCCUAAAGUCAGUGGCGGUGCCGUCCGGCUCCGAGCGUAGUAAUUCUUCUCGCUCUGGAGGUCCGGUCGUGUGCUCGCCAGCAACCCCCAAUUUUUUUCAGGUUGACCUCGGAUCAGGUAGGGAUACCCGCUGAACUUAAGCAUAUCAAUAAGCGGAGGA